GGUCCUACGGGCGCAGCAGUGGGGAAUAUUGCACAAUGGGGGAAACCCUGAUGCAGCAACGCCGCGUGGGUGAAGGAGCGUUUCGGCGCGUAAAGCCCUGUCAGCGGGGAAGAAGAAAGACGGUACCUGACUAAGAAGCCCCGGCUAACUACGUGCCAGCAGCCGCGGUAAUACGUAGGGGGCAAGCGUUAUCCGGAUUUACUGGGUGUAAAGGGAGCGUAGACGGCAUAGCAAGUCUGAUGUGAAAGAUCGGGGCUCAACCCCGGGCCUGCAUUGGAAACUGUUAAGCUGGAGUACAGGCGAGG
RNAcentral lists this ribosomal RNA (305 nucleotides) under uncultured bacterium. Its description in RNAcentral is "bacterial SSU rRNA". It matches the Rfam family "Bacterial small subunit ribosomal RNA", at positions 335 to 657 of the family's 1533-position model. The record is from RNAcentral.